RNAcentral lists this unclassified non-coding RNA (391 nucleotides) under soil metagenome. RNAcentral describes it as "partial contains 5.8S ribosomal RNA, internal transcribed spacer 2, and large subunit ribosomal RNA". The stretch from base 1 to 122 matches the Rfam family "5.8S ribosomal RNA", at positions 35 to 154 of the family's 154-position model. The record is from RNAcentral.
GAUGAAGAACGUAGCGAAAUGCGAUACUUGGUGUGAAUUGCAGAAUCCCGUGAACCAUCGAGUCUUUGAACGCAAGUUGCGCCCGAAGCCAUUAGGCCGAGGGCACGCCUGCCUGGGCGUCACACGUCGUUGCCCCCCCAUCUACUCCUUCGGGAUUGCGGGGGGCGGAUGAUGGCCUCUCGUGCGCCUCGUCGCGCGGUUGGCCUAAAUGCCAAGUCCUCGGCGACGCACGCCACGACAAUCGGUGGUUGCGAAACCUCGGUUGCCUGUCGUGUGCGGUCGUCGCGCAUCGAGGGCUCGAAAAAAUUGCCAGGCUUCGGCUCGACUUUCAACGCGACCCCAGGUCAGGCGGGGUUACCCGCUGAAUUUAAGCAUAUCAAUAAGCGGAGGA